Molecule: ribosomal RNA, 1446 nt
Filed under: uncultured bacterium
Lineage: Bacteria
Description: 16S ribosomal RNA
Rfam family: Bacterial small subunit ribosomal RNA
Source: RNAcentral
GAUGAACGCUGGCGGCGUGCUUAACACAUUCAAGUCGAACGGAGUUUUACGACGGAAGCCUUCGGGUGGAAGAUGUAAAACUUAGUGGCGGACGGGUGAGUAACGCGUGAGCAACCUGCCCUUGUGAGGGGAAUAACGUUUGGAAACGAACGCUAAUACCGCAUAACACAUGGAGGACGCAUGUUUUUCAUGUCAAAGAUUUAUCGCACAGGGAUGGGCUCGCGUCCGAUUAGAUAGUUGGUGAGGUAACGGCCCACCAAGUCGACGAUCGGUAGCCGGACUGAGAGGUUGAACGGCCACAUUGGAACUGAGAUACGGUCCAGACUCCUACGGGAGGCAGCAGUGGGGAAUAUUGGGCAAUGGACGCAAGUCUGACCCAGCGACGCCGCGUGAAGGAAGAAGGUCUUCGGAUUGUAAACUUUAAAUAUCAGGGAAGAAAAGAAUGACGGUACCUGAAGGAAAGCCACGGCUAACUACGUGCCAGCAGCCGCGGUAAUACGUAGGUGGCGAGCGUUAUCCGGAUUUACUGGGCGUAAAGGGUGUGUAGGCGGGACUGCAAGUCAGAUGUGAAAAUUACGGGCUCAACCCGUGAACUGCAUUUGAAACUGUAGUUCUUGAGAGCCGGAGGGGUAAAUGGAAUUCCCAGUGUAGCGGUGAAAUGCGUAGAUAUUGGGAGGAACACCAGUGGCGAAGGCGAUUUACUGGACGGCAACUGACGCUGAGACACGAAAGUGUGGGGAGCAAACAGGAUUAGAUACCCUGGUAGUCCACACCGUAAACGAUGAACACUAGGUGUAGGGGAGCAAUCCUCUGUGCCGGAGCUAACACAAUAAGUGUUCCGCCUGGGGAGUACGGCCGCAAGGUUGAAACUCAAAGGAAUUGACGGGAGCCCGCACAAGCAGUGGAGUAUGUGGUUUAAUUCGACGCAACGCGAAGAACCUUACCAGGACUUGACAUCCCGAGAAUCGAGCGUAAUGGCUUGAGUGCCUUUCGGGGAAUUCGGAGACAGGUGGUGCAUGGUUGUCGUCAGCUCGUGUCGUGAGAUGUUGGGUUAAGUCCCGCAACGAGCGCAACCCUUACGGUUAGUUGCUACGAAAGAGCACUCUGGCCGGACUGCCGUUGACAAAACGGAGGAAGGUGGGGACGACGUCAAAUCAUCAUGCCCCUUACGUUCUGGGCUACACACGUACUACAAUGGCGCAAACAAAGGGAAGCGAAUCCGCGAGGAGGAGCAAAUCCCAUAAAAGGCGUCUCAGUUCGGACUGCAGGCUGCAACUCGCCUGCACGAAGCUGGAAUUGCUAGUAAUCGCGGAUCAGCAUGCCGCGGUGAAUACGUUCCCGGGCUUUGUACACACCGCCCGUCAAACCAUGAAAGUUGGGGACACCCGAAGCCUGUGAGCUAACCGCAAGGAGGCAGCAGUCGAAGGUGGAUUCAAUGAUUGGGGU